This 492-nucleotide ribosomal RNA is filed under the name uncultured bacterium. RNAcentral's name for it is "partial 16S ribosomal RNA". It matches the Rfam family "Bacterial small subunit ribosomal RNA", at positions 29 to 507 of the family's 1533-position model. The record is from RNAcentral.
AGUGAACGCUGGCGGUAGGCCUAACACAUGCAAGUCGAACGGCAGCACAGUAAGAGCUUGCUCUUACGGGUGGCGAGUGGCGGACGGGUGAGGAAUACAUCGGAAUCUACUUUUUCGUGGGGGAUAACGUAGGGAAACUUACGCUAAUACCGCAUACGACCUACGGGUGAAAGCAGGGGAUCUUCGGACCUUGCGCGAUUGAAUGAGCCGAUGUCGGAUUAGCUAGUUGGCGGGGUAAAGGCCCACCAAGGCGACGAUCCGUAGCUGGUCUGAGAGGAUGAACAGCCACACUGGAACUGAGACACGGUCCAGACUCCUACGGGAGGCAGCAGUGGGGAAUAUUAGGCAAUGGGCGCAAGCCUGAUCCAGCCAUACCGCGUGGGUGAAGAAGGCCUUCGGGUGGUAAAGCCCUUUUGUUGGGAGAGAAAAGCAGCAGGUUAAUACCCCACUGUUCUGACGGUACCCAAAGAAUAAGCACCGGCUAACUUCGUG